RNAcentral lists this transfer RNA (83 nucleotides) under Felis catus (domestic cat). It matches the Rfam family "tRNA". Rfam says of the family: Transfer RNA (tRNA) molecules are approximately 80 nucleotides in length. Their secondary structure includes four short double-helical elements and three loops (D, anti-codon, and T loops). The record is from Rfam by way of RNAcentral. Lineage: Eukaryota; Metazoa; Chordata; Mammalia; Carnivora; Felidae.
GCUCAGUUGGUUAAACACCAGACACUUGAUUUUGGCUCAGGCCAUGAUCUCAUGGUUUGUGGGUUCGAGCCCCACAUUGGGCU